Molecule: ribosomal RNA, 498 nt
Filed under: uncultured bacterium
Lineage: Bacteria
Description: partial 16S ribosomal RNA
Rfam family: Bacterial small subunit ribosomal RNA
Source: RNAcentral
GACGAACGCUGGCGGCGUGCCUAACACAUGCAAGUCGAGCGGAGAUGAUGUGAGGAAGUUUUCGGAUGGAAUCACAUUAUUUUAGCGGCGGACGGGUGAGUAACGCGUGAGCGACCAACCUUGCACAGGGGGAUAACGGACCGAAAGGUUCACUAAUACCGCAUGAGACCACGGUGUUGCAUGACACAGAGGUCAAAGGAGCAAUCCGGUGCAAGACGGGCUCGCGUCCGAUUAGGUAGUUGGAGGGGUAACGGCCCACCAAGCCUAUGAUCGGUAGCCGACCUGGGAGGGUGAUCGGCCACAUUGGAACUGAGAUACGGUCCAAACUCCUACGGGAGGCAGCAGUGGGGAAUAUUGGGCAAUGGGGGAAACCCUGACCCAGCAACGCCGCGUGAAGGAAGAAGGUUUUCGGAUUGUAAACUUCUGUCCUUGGUGAAGAGAAGAAGACGGUAGCCAAGGAGGAAGCCCCGGCUAACUACGUGCCAGCCGCCGCGGUAA